Molecule: ribosomal RNA, 492 nt
Filed under: uncultured bacterium
Lineage: Bacteria
Description: partial 16S ribosomal RNA
Rfam family: Bacterial small subunit ribosomal RNA
Source: RNAcentral
AGUGAACGCUGGCGGUAGGCCUAACACAUGCAAGUCGAACGGCAGCACAGUAAGAGCCUGCUCUUACGGGUGGCGAGUGGCGGACGGGUGAGGAAUACAUCGGAAUCUACUUUUUCGUGGGGGAUAACGUAGGGAAACUUACGCUAAUACCGCAUACGACCUACGGGUGAAAGCAGGGGAUCUUCGGACCUUGCGCGAUUGAAUGAGCCGAUGUCGGAUUAGCUAGUUGGCGGGGUAAAGGCCCACCAAGGCGACGAUCCGUAGCUGGUCUGAGAGGAUGAUCAGCCACACUGGAACUGAGACACGGUCCAGACUCCUACGGGAGGCAGCAGUGGGGAAUAUUGGACAAUGGGCGCAAGCCUGAUCCAGCCAUACCGCGUGGGUGAAGAAGGCCUUCGGGUUGUAAAGCCCUUCUGUUGGGAAAGAAAAGCAGCAGGUUAAUACCCCGCUGUUCUGACGGUACCCAAAGAAUAAGCACCGGCUAACUUCGUG